RNAcentral lists this unclassified non-coding RNA (195 nucleotides) under uncultured fungus. RNAcentral's name for it is "sequence contains ITS1". Lineage: Eukaryota; Fungi. The record is from RNAcentral.
UUUUUAGUUUUGUUUUUGUUACAUUCUUUAACUAGUGUUUAAAAUGAAGCCGCUCGAACAUUCAUAUUUGGGUAAACCCUCAUAAUCCCGCUCGAGCCAUAUAGUGCACAGUGUUGGAGAGUGGAGGUCAGGCCUCUAUAAAAUAGAGCACCCUAAAAUUCACUAAUGAUCCUUCCGCAGGUUCACCUACGGAAA